GGAAAUUAAAACUCCUAACUUAACCCAUAUUUACAAUGUCUAGUAACUUAUCAUAUCAGUGUUGUAAAUUGUGUAUUAUUAUUAUUUUAUUAUAUUAUAUUUCAUAGUAUCUUUGAAAAAGAAUUUUCCUGUGUUGGAUUUAGAGAAAGAUCAACACCUGAUUUAUUCAGGUUAAUAUUGACUUGGAUUUUGCUGUUUGGGUCUUGACGACCACAGAUCUAUACAGAGAAUGCCUGCCUGUAUUGUUACGGGAUGUACUCCACGGUGCAGAGAAGGAGAAGAGGAAUUUGCUCUCCAUUCAUUUACAAAAGCAAAGGAUCGCAUAAAGUUAUGGCUGCUAGCCACCGGGCAAGAUUUUGGAAAUAUCGACAAAUUAGUGGAUACUAUAUUCCAAUCAAAAACCAGUGCAUAUCGGCUCUGCUCCUUGCAUUUUUCAACAUCAUGUUACAUUCGGAAUCCUAAAACCGGAAAGAGGAGGCUGUUACCAACAGCUGUACCAAGUAUUUUUACAAGGCAUGCUGCACCAUCGAGCAAGAGGAAAAGAUUAGAUGAGGAUGGUGCAUCAUCUAGUCAAUUUAAUCCUGGAGAAAUGUGUCCAACCUGCAAUCAAGUGGUACCACAUAUAAAUCCAACCCAACCUGAACAAGCAGCCACUCGUUUCAGUACCACAGAUUCAGCUACAAACUUUGACCGUUUCUGGGCAACAUUUAAUGAAGGCAUUCAAGUAACCCCUAAAACAACAUCAAGAAAAAUUCAGUGUUCCCGACUAAUGGACAGAAAAAAGGUUAAUACAAUCCAAAAGUAGGCCACAAUUUGUUUUUGGACCAGUGACUUCUGUACCAGUCCAUGGACCCAAGAUUUAUACAUCUACACCACAAAAAAUGAUACCAACAGGAAAAGGAUCUUUGGCCUGUUCUAGUAAUGCUCCUGAAACGCAUAAAGCAACAGAUCCUCCCAAUUUACAAACAACUUUACUGACAGAAUUAUAAAUAUCACCAA
Long non-coding RNA from Hyla sarda, 999 nucleotides. RefSeq lists it as uncharacterized. The transcript has 3 exons. The record is from RefSeq and is a predicted model, not a curated record. NCBI's taxonomy places the organism in Eukaryota, Metazoa, Chordata, Amphibia, Anura, Hylidae.